This 1289-nucleotide long non-coding RNA is filed under the name Homo sapiens (human). RNAcentral's name for it is "HSALNT0267430". The record is from RNAcentral. Lineage: Eukaryota; Metazoa; Chordata; Mammalia; Primates; Hominidae.
CCCUCAUGAUUGUCUGGAGAGGUGAGAAGACCAGGAGUAGUAAAACAGACCAAAGAUUUCCCAAUUUCUCUUGGGGAAGUGGCUGGGAUUGGGGAUGGUGGCCAAUGGGAGCCCAACUUUAUUGGUAAAAUUCUGAUUAUUUUAUGAGAAGAAUGUAUUUUUGUAUCAUUUGUGUAAUUAAAAAAUUAAGCAAAUGAAUAAUAUGAACACUUCAGUUCUUAAACAUUGACAAUGUAUAUACUGGAUGUAAUAAAACGCACUGAAUUGAAAAAACUUUGCUUUGGUGAUUUGUAAGAGAGGAGUUUUCCCUGUCAUUUUCUUUUGCUUUGAUCAGGGGAUACUAGAUAAUAUCAAACCGGCUUUAUCCAAACUGUAUAUUGACAAAUAGGAGACUUGUCUUCCCAAUAUCUGGUGUGACAAGGAAUCUCAAAGAAUUGAUCAGAAUGCAUUCCUUCAUUGGUACUAUGUGGUGUUAAUUAUUGUAGCACUCUUGAAAAUUGUUUGGUUAUUCUUGUAUGUUUAUGUUUUUCAUAUUAACUUUAAAAUUGUUUUUUCCAGUUACUUACUAAAAGACUCAUAUUGAUUUUGAUUGAAGCGGCAUUAAACUUAUUCUUUUAGUUUACGGUAGAAUUGGCAUGUUAACUAUAGUGAUUGUGACUGUCUACUGAAUCUCUUAGUUUAUUCCUGUCAUCUUUUAGGUCUCAAGAUAGAGUUCUAUAGCUUUCUUUAUGUGGGUCCUGCACAUUUCUUAAGUCCAUUCCUGGGCUUCCUGUAUUUUGUGCUGCUAUUGUGAGUGUAAUUUUUCUUUUCCAUUAUGUUUUCUAAUAUAUAAUUGAUACUAUACUAAUGAAUGAAUUCAUUAGUUUAUUCUACAAGUAUGAAUAGAGAAGCUAUUUAUUUAUUUUGCAUACUUAUUUUAUAACCUGUGCCUUUAUUGAAUUUUCUUAUCAGUCUUAAUAGUUUUUGGCAUUACUAGACAUAUACCAAAGAUUGAAUUAACUUUGGGCCUUCAUUUAUAAAAGUAAUUGUGGUGGUCUUAAAACAUUUAUGAAAAUCUUUAAUACUGCUUUUAUAAAAAGAACAAGUCUAUGUCCUCUUCUCUUGAAUCACUGCUGACCUCAGUGAAUCCUUUGUAACCUGUAGAAUCUAACAAGUGAUGAGAUGUAACUUCAAAGGUCAGGUGGGAAAAGGUUACUUAGGUUUCACCAGGAUCUCUUGGGACACUCACUGUGGGUGAAGAUAUGGGCUAUGUAAUUAGUCUGACUACUCUGGGCUGUCUGUGCUGAAGA